AGGUGGCGCUGUUGUAGAACUUUUUGAAUUAAGAGCGUCUCACUCCAGUGUGCCAAAGAAUUUCACACAGCAUGGACGGGUGCCAAACAAAUACAGCUUUGCUUUAAGCAUGGACGCACGCAGAACAUUUCUGUGCAAAUUGUCUCAUUUUGCUGAAUAACCUGGAAACGCACCGUCAGAACAAGGACUCGUUAAAGUUUGCUGUUUGGGAACACGAGAUUUUCUCAAGAAAGAUGGACUGAACCGAUUUCAUAUCAGCAAUUUCCAACAGCGACAGAACGAGUAUCUCCCGCAACCUCUGAAGUCGUUUACACCACAUGUACGGCCAUAAUGAUGUUGCAGAGUUGACGUCCCGUUACGCAGCUAAAUGUUUUACCUAAACCAAACGUCAAGUCCCCCUGGGGUGCAGGAACAGGAAUGCGUGAUAUGCGGCCGAGCAGACGGCCUGUGUGAUACUCCUGCUGAGCGCUGGAGAAAAGGGCAGACGAGGUGGUGAAAAACAACCCUGCUGCCACCUCCACUCAUGCAUCCUUCAUCACCUCUCGCUCUCGCUUUUCUCUCUCGUCCAGUGAUCGUCUCACGCCUAGCCCUACUUUUGUGACCUUUCGCCUUUGCAUCAAUCAUUGUGUCGUACAAAUGUACAGUGUAUUUGGGACAAAGCAAAAAGGGUCACCCCGUCUUAAAUUCUGUUUAUCUCUCCUGACAGGGAUCUUCUUGCGUCUCAAUCUGGUUAAUAAAGUUAAUUACAGUUUCUACAACACAUAUUUUGCCCCAAACAGAGUUUGGCCACAGAACGCUGCAACAACCCAAUUUAACUUGGUUCACAAAGUUGCCAGAACGUUACGUAACGUCCUGACAAGACUUAAGUUGAAACAUGCUUAGCUUUAUUGUUUUUGUUUUCUAAAGACAAGACACAGAGCUUUAUUCUUUAAUAAGAAUAAAGCUAAGCAUGUUCUUGCUGAUCUUGUUUCCCUGUGAAGCAGUUUGACAAAGUGCCAGGCUAAAGCCGGCACGUUUACUCUUUGUUUCGAUAUCACUUGUUGAUAAAUCGGUUAAUGGCAUAUCUCAUUGCAGUUGUAUUUAGUUGUGUGUCAACAAAACAUACGUAAAAUACUUGUUUGAGGAGCUUGGUGUUGUUAAAAUUAGUUAAAAUGUAAAAAUGCUUGUAAGUGAAAUAAAAGAAGUUCUUGCUCUGAAAA
This is a long non-coding RNA of Gambusia affinis (western mosquitofish), 1199 nucleotides long. RefSeq lists it as uncharacterized. NCBI's taxonomy places the organism in Eukaryota, Metazoa, Chordata, Actinopteri, Cyprinodontiformes, Poeciliidae. The record is from RefSeq and is a predicted model, not a curated record. The transcript has 3 exons.